CUGAAUGAGAUUUUAACACGAAGUGAGUGGCGGACGGGUGAGUAACACGUGGGUAACCUGCCCAGAAGCAGGGGAUAACACCUGGAAACAGAUGCUAAUACCGUAUAACAGAGAAAACCGCCUGGUUUUCUUUUAAAAAUGGCUCUGCUAUCACUUCUGGAUGGACC
This 167-nucleotide ribosomal RNA is filed under the name Pediococcus acidilactici. RNAcentral's name for it is "partial 16S ribosomal RNA". It matches the Rfam family "Bacterial small subunit ribosomal RNA", at positions 62 to 231 of the family's 1533-position model. The record is from RNAcentral. Lineage: Bacteria; Bacillati; Bacillota; Bacilli; Lactobacillales; Lactobacillaceae.